Long non-coding RNA from Oncorhynchus nerka (sockeye salmon), 4341 nucleotides. RefSeq lists it as uncharacterized. The transcript has 2 exons. Lineage: Eukaryota; Metazoa; Chordata; Actinopteri; Salmoniformes; Salmonidae. The record is from RefSeq and is a predicted model, not a curated record.
CGUUCAUAACAUAUUCUACAUUUGGGAACAUAACACUGUAUUGAAAUCAAAUGUUUCACAGAUGAGAAUUUGCAGAAUGUCGGCCAAAAUCCAUAUAGUUUCAUCUCUCAGUUCCGGCCAGUGGGGCAUCCUCUCACUACCAUAUUUGGUAGUGAAGGAAACUUCAAGCGGAUGCUUCACAUUUUUACAUCCAGUGAUGGAGCCCAGUUUGACUGGCAUGUUCACGAGCAAGCGGUAAAUUGCCCGGUGCCUCUUAGGCCGCCCAUUGUGAAUCGCCUGUGGGCGUGCUGGCAGCAUAUAAUACCUUUUUGAUUGAGCGUCAAUAAUUCAACAUAUGAAGUAUGUAUUGAAGGUCUGGUUAUUAAAUGCCUAAAUAGUUCAAUGGUAAUAUGCUUUAAGACGCUCUGGUGACGAACACACUUUGCUUCCCUGUUUCCAAUUGUCCACAUGGAUGGGAUAACCUAUUCAAGUAAGUAACGUUAAAUACAUUUCGAAAAUGUAAAAAAACGAUUUAUUAUUAGCUAGCUACAGUGCAGGCUAACUCAUAAGCUGCUAAAUGAGCUAGCCAACCUGACAUAAUGUAAAGAUGGCUAGCUAAGUGAAUUAAAUAUCACCAGCUACCUAACUUCAUAUCAGCUAGCUAUCUUGAUGUAUUCAUCACUGUAAAAACACAAACUCCAAAUGCAUUUGUAGGUAAGCUAGCUAACAACCAUGGAGGUGGGUGAAAAGAUAGCAGCCCCUACUCUCUCUGGAUAGGGAAGUACUUGUGUAGUUCCAGUCCCUAGAAGUGAGGCUGGAGAUAAUAGUAACAUAAUAUUUUCAGUGCGGUGUAAUGAAGUCUGUUUCUUGUGAGGUUUUCUGUCAUCAGAUAAAGAGAGCUAUGAAAGCCUGUCUAGAGAUGAAGAGGUCCCAAUGAAGGGCAGCGAUUCAAAGUCCUGGCCCUUGGGACUCAAAGGGGUGCACGUUUUGCUGAUACAAAUGAUCAACUCUUCAUCAAACUUCAAGUGAUACCUUGUAACUGGAGAUUUUUUUUCAAAACGAUUGCCUACAGUUAAGAUGUAGGGCACUGCAAGGUUGGGUGACCAGGACCACCUGGGACUGCCUCCUGGAGGAAUUCAGGUGUGUGAAGGCUAACUGUGCUGUCCUGCAUAACUUCAUGAGAAUGGACACGAGGACCAGGAGGGGAUCUGCAGCUCGCCGCUGUGUGCCAGAGGAGAAGUCUACUGCUCUGCAGGAUGUUUCAAGGAUGGGGUCCAACAACGCAGCAAGAGGCAAUCCGUGUGCGGGAGAUCUUCACCUCCAACUUCUUCGAAGAGGGUGCUGUUCCUUGGCAACACUAUAGACAACACUAUGCACAACCAAAGGAUCUUUUAAGAGCCAUCCACAUUACAAUAAGAGUAUUCUUCCAUUUAACUUAGCGAUGUCAACUGCAGUUAUUACAUUCCCAGUUUCUCUCCCUUUGAUUUCUACUUCUCAGGUGUGGAUGCUUUUUAGGUAAGGGUGUAAUGCCAAAACAAAAACAGGCUAUUUUAAGUCGCCCAUAUUGAAAACAAUAGAACAAUUCGACACCCUUAUAACCUACACACUCAUGUAUCAAUCUGCUUGAUGGAUUGUGUUGUGCAGUAAGCAGGCUCAGGUGUAUACCUAGCUCCUUCCACCACUUCCUUAUUUCUAUAACUACGCAAUAUUGUUUGUCCUCGUGUGUCUGUGUGUAACAGUAUAGCUUCCCAUCCAUCUCCUCGCCCCAACCUGGGCUCAAACCUCUGCACAGAUCAACAGUCACCCUCGAAGCAUCGUUACCCAUCGCUUCACAAAAGCCGCAGCCCUUGCAGAGCAAGGGGAACCACUACUUCAAGGUCUCAGAGCAAGUGACGUCACCGAUUGAAACGCUAUUAGCGCGCACCACCGCUAACUAGCUAGCCAUUUCACAUCGGUUACAUGUGCAUGUUUUUCAGCAUAAAGUACUCUGCAGCCACUUAGUGUGGACACCAGGUGAGGCCUCACACACAGAUUCCUGUUGAACACUGUCUAUUUAACUACCUUAUUUUCUCAAUAAGUCUUUCCCUUCACUUCAUCCCUCUCUCCCCCCUUCUCCCUAAAUCCUCUAAGUAAUAUCAGCUGUGUCUGUGAACCCUUCCCGCAUCUGAACUGGCUACACAGAAGGCACAGCAUGAUCAGAGUUGAGGUCACUUGGUCGGGUCAACAGGAACUAUUAUUAAAGAGAUGCUUUACAUUGAAAUAGAGAUGUAGUAGUCCCAGAAUUAAUGAUCCAAGGUCCGUUUUGCAAUUCACCUCCAGAUGAUUAUGAUGACUGACAGUAAGAAUAAAUUUAAAAAACACAAGGCUUAAACAUGCAAGCUGUCUGUCUCAUCUGCAGUUAUGUUUUGAUGUGAAAGAGGAUGCCAACCCCCAGUCCUGUCAUCACUGCUGGCUUGCUUCUGAAGCUAAACAGCGUUGGUCCUGGUCAGUUCCUGGAUGGGAGACCAGAUGGUGUUGGAGGGUCAGUAGGAGGCACACUUUCCUCUGGUCUAAAAAAUAUCCCAAUGCCGCAGGGUGCCAUCUUUCGGAUGGGACGUUAAAUGGUUGUCCUGCCUCUCUGAGGUCAUUAAAGAUCCCAUGGCACUUAUCGUAAGAGUAGGGGUGUUAACCCCGGUGUCCUGGCUAAAUUCCCAAGCUGGCCCUCAAACCAUCACGGUCACCUAAUAAUCCCCUGUUUACAAUUGGCUCAUUAAUCCCCCUCCUCUCCCCUGUAACUAUUCCCCAGGUCAUUGCUGCAAAUGAGAAUGUGUUCUCAGUCAACUUACCUGGUAAAAUAACAUAAAUAAAAUCACCACCUCACCCAUUCUUAAGAUAACCUUCAGGCUGACUGGGAGCCCAAGGCCGGUUAGGAGACACCACUGGAGACACUAUUAUGUAAUUGUAAUGAACUGGGAGAAUAUUAGGGUAGCACAGUGAUUCAUUAAUCAUAUGCUGUCUUCUCUGUUCUUACCCCUUUCCCUUUCUGUCUUUUACACGUCUAUCGCCACCUCUCUCUUCCUGUUUUUAUUAUUAUACAAUAGUUUCGUCCAGUGUAGGCCGUCAUUGUAAAUAAGAAUUUGUUCUUAACUGACUUGCCUAGUAAAAAAAAAAGAAUGGUUUCAGCUGCUGAUUUUCAGUUCUGUUUAAGUAGUCAGGGACACUCCCAUUCUGACAAAGCUAACAACUAGAUGGCAGCAUUGCAACCUUUUGAGUUGCCUGACAGCAAUGGAUAAUGUCUUGGCUUGUGUUUAUAUAGGCUAGACUAGGGGCCCAGAUUCACAAAACACUUAUUACGCAAAAACUUAAGAAGCUGCUUAUUAAGAAAUGGAAAAAAGUUCAUAAGUGCAGUUCCUCAACAGUAUCUUAAGAUUUUAUGUCAUUAAAUAUCCAUCUUCUUACAAAUCAUCCUAAAAUGUUUGUUGCUAGGCAACCGAUUUAGAUAGCUAUCUAGCUAGCAAUGGCAAUCAUGUUUGCAUAUUUCCUACUUAGAUUACGGUUCUAAAACAUGUUCUUGGGUUUAAAAUAGUCAAUACUGAAACUUUCAGACGAUGUUUGUGAGUGAAUUAAACAUGUUCAAUUGCUUCCAUGAGCUUAUUCUCUCACUGCCCAGAGUUUAAUUUGUAAACUUGGAAAAGAGAGAACAACCUCACAUAACCAAGUGCUGAUUUUGCUGGCACGCACAACUCAUUCAGUAGAGCAGCAAUGAUGGCCUAUUCACAUACUUGAGGGAAAUGUUGAGGAUAGAUGUCUUUUUGACCAGUGUGUCCUACUCAUUUCAAGUAUACUUAAUUGUCCUCUCUUUAGUAGCUAUGUUCUUGUUUUUACUGGUCACACCUCAACAAGUCUGUUGACUGAGAACACAUUUUCAGCAACAACCUGGGGAGAGGGGGAUGAAUGAGUCAAUUAUAAACUGUGGAUUAUGGUAUGAGUGUCAGCUUGGGAAUUUAGACAGGACACCAGAGUUAACACCCCUACAAUAAGUGCCAUGUGAUCUGUAGUGACCACAGAGAGUUAGGACACACGUUUAACAACCCAUCGGAACAACAGCACCCUGCACAGGGUUUAUUUUUUUUUUGACUUGAGGAAAGAGUGCCUCCUACUGGCCCACCAACACCACUUCCAGCAGCAUCUAGUCUCCCAUCCAGGGACCAACCCUGCUUAGCUUCAGAAGCAAGCUAGCAGUGGGAUGCAGGGUGGUAUGCUGCUGGCUAUCAAUUGCUGAAACCAGCACCUAUAUUUAAGCCUUGCAAUUUUUAUUUCAUGGUACAGCAUUUUUAUAAAUGUGUCACUGAACAAAAGUAUAAAUGUAACAAUUUAAUUUGA